AAAAUCUUCUCUAUAUAAAAGAUUGUUGUCCUUAUACUUUCUUUUUUGUAUUCAAUAUCCAACAAUAAGAUUAAAGUUUAUGCAUCAAAUAACAUCCAAAGUUCUUGUGGAGAGAUUUGAAGAUUAAGAUUAAAGGGGAGAUUGUCGGUUUCUUUUAACAUAUGUUUUUUUUCAGUUUCGAUUUUUAUGAUGUGUUCCAGUUUGGCCGUAUGAAAUAUCGUUGGAUAAGCCUACUAAAAAAUGAGGUGGUGCAGGUUACAUAUUACUCUACCAGUUUUCAAGAGUUGUUGGAAUUGCAGGAAGCAAAACUGGUGAACCUCACAAAGGUAGAAGAGCGUAUGAACUUGCAAUCAGUUCGUCUUGCUUGACUUAAAAGGGUUAAAGUGCUUGCUUGCUCGACUUAUUAACGUGUUGUAAUGAUUUAUUAGUUGGAUAGUUUAGUUCAAAUAUGAAAUUGUGGGACAUAAAAGAUUGUA
Erigeron canadensis is the source of this 476-nucleotide long non-coding RNA. RefSeq lists it as uncharacterized. Lineage: Eukaryota; Viridiplantae; Streptophyta; Magnoliopsida; Asterales; Asteraceae. The transcript is spliced from 3 exons. The record is from RefSeq and is a predicted model, not a curated record.